RNAcentral lists this long non-coding RNA (1166 nucleotides) under Equus caballus (horse). Its description in RNAcentral is "lncRNA (ENSECAG00000043092.2)". The record is from RNAcentral. Lineage: Eukaryota; Metazoa; Chordata; Mammalia; Perissodactyla; Equidae.
CCUAAGGGGAAAUGAAUACCUCAGAGGGAACAUGGAGAACUUUCCAUCCUUUGUGUUCGAAGACACACUGUCCUUCCACUUCUCUGCCACCAGACCACCCUCUCAGCCCUCUGGGGAUAGAAAAGGAGAAGAGCCUCGACUAAGGCAGAGCAGUGGGAUGAGCCGUGGAUGGGGAGCCAGCUUUGAUGUGGGUUCAAACCCCAGCUAGAAAUGACAGACACCGGAGGAGACCACCCAGCACUAAGACACUGGGUCACUCAGUGUCACCACCAGAGGCACGGAUGGAAGCAGGAGCUAAAUGGAGGGAAAGGCAUGGGCUUUCUCUGCUGGCCUUGCCACUGACUUCCAGGACUUAGCCUCAGUUUCUCCACCUGAGUCAGGAGCAAGUAAAGAGAUGGACAGCCCUCGGCAAGAGGUAGGCCUUAGGAAACAACCAGUGAAUGAGAGAGUGAAUGAGUGCAUGAAUGUGUGGGGACCACCUCAGUAUGACAGAAAGGGUGACCUGUCGGAGCCUCAAGGGUGGCGGUGGGAGCUCCCUGGGUUGGGGAGGGGCCCGUGACACCUGAGCCAACUCCGUUCGGACGGAGAAAGAGCAAGAGAAACACAACAGCAGAAGCUAGAGCAGGUGGAGAAGCGCAGAGGACCUGGUUCGCAGGAGGAGAGAAGCGAGGAGCUACAAUGAGGGGACUCCGGGACACCGCUCUUGGAAGCAGCGGGAAGGUGCAGGCGCGGGAUCUCAGAUGACCACCCAGUCGGCGGCCCGCGCGUCUUUCUCGCUCGACCAGGCCCCGCAGCGCCGCCUGGCGGACACGCGGCGCUCCGCCCGGGCUUCGGCGGCAGCCGGUCGAGGAGCUGGGGAUACCCGGCAGUUCAGGAAAAAGCCGGAGGGAGCCCGGGGGCGCGUCGCGGGAGGGACAUUUAUUCCCGGAGCGGGGCUGGCACCUCGGCCUGGACCCGCAGCACAUACUAGCACCCUCUCUUCACUAACCCCGCUCUCGGGAUGACUCAGCUACGUCGAACACGUCAGGGAACCCUUUCUCCCCUCAACUCCCGGCCCCCAGCUAUGGAAUUUUGCUGCCUCUGAGUAGCUUCUCCGGGAAGGCGGUCUCGUUAAAAUUUCAAGGCGUUUUGGUUUUGAUUUUUGUUAAUAAAAUAACAAGAGUGGG